Molecule: ribosomal RNA, 494 nt
Filed under: uncultured bacterium
Lineage: Bacteria
Description: partial 16S ribosomal RNA
Rfam family: Bacterial small subunit ribosomal RNA
Source: RNAcentral
GACGAACGCUGGCGGCGUGCUUAACACAUGCAAGUCGAACGGUGAAGCGCCUUCCUUUUUGGUGGGUGUGGAUGAGUGGCGAACGGGUGAGUAACACGUGAGUAACCUGCCCCCUUCUUCUGGAUAACCGCAUGAAAGUGUGGCUAAUACGGGAUAUUCUGGGUCUGCCGCAUGAUGGGUCUGGGAAAGAUAUUGUUUCGGUGGGGGAUGGGCUCGCGGCCUAUCAGCUUGUUGGUGGGGUGAUGGCCUACCAAGGCGGUGACGGGUAGCCGGCCUGAGAGGGUGGACGGUCACACUGGGACUGAGACACGGCCCAGACUCCUACGGGAGGCAGCAGUGGGGAAUAUUGCACAAUGGGCGCAAGCCUGAUGCAGCGACGCCGCGUGAGGGAUGGAGGCCUGCGGGUUGUGAACCUCUUUCGCCAGUGAAGCAGGCCUGCCUCGUUUGUGGGUGGGUUGACGGUAGCUGGAGAAGAAGCGCCGGCUAACUACGUG